AGGGAGGACCUAAGCCAUGCGAGUCAUUGUAGCAAUACAAGGCAGACGGCUCAGUAACGCGUAGUCAAUCUACCCUAUGGACGGGGAUAACCUCGGGAAACUGAGAAUAAUACUCGAUAGAACAUUAUGCCUGGAACGGUUUAUGUUUCAAAUGAUUUAUCGCCAUAGGAUGGGACUGCGGCCUAUCAGUUUGUUGGUGAGGUAAUGGCCCACCAAGACUAUUACAGGUACGGGCUCUGAGAGGAGUAGCCCGGAGAUGGGUACUGAGACACGGACCCAGGCCCUAUGGGGCGCAGCAGGCGAGAAAACUUUGCAAUGUGCGAAAGCACGACAAGGUUAAUCCGAGUGGUUUCUGCUAAAGGAACCUUUUGUCGGUCCUAGAAACACCGAUGAAUAAGGGGUGGGCAAGUUCUGGUGUCAGCCGCCGCGGUAAAACCAGCACCUCAAGUGGUCAGGAUGAUUAUUGGGCCUAAAGCAUCCGUAGCCGGCUCUGUAAGUUUUCGGUUAAAUCUGUACGCUUAACGUACAGGCCGCCGGGAAUACUGCAUAGCUAGGGAGUGGGAGAGGUAGACGGUACUCGGUAGGAAGGGGUAAAAUCCUUUGAUCUAUUGAUGACCACCUGUGGCGAAGGCGGUCUACCAGAACACGUCCGACGGUGAGGGAUGAAAGCUGGGGGAGCAAACCGGAUUAGAUACCCGGGUAGUCCCAGCUGUAAACUAUGCAAACUCAGUGAUGCAUUGGCUUGUGGCCAAUGCAGUGCUGCAGGGAAGCCGUUAAGUUUGCCGCCUGGGAAGUACGUACGCAAGUAUGAAACUUAAAGGAAUUGGCGGGGGAGCACCACAAUGGGUGAAGCCUGCGGUUCAAUUGGAGUCAACGCCGGG
RNAcentral lists this ribosomal RNA (881 nucleotides) under uncultured archaeon. RNAcentral describes it as "bacterial SSU rRNA". It matches the Rfam family "Archaeal small subunit ribosomal RNA", at positions 34 to 922 of the family's 1478-position model. The record is from RNAcentral.